RNAcentral lists this ribosomal RNA (165 nucleotides) under Kosakonia cowanii. RNAcentral describes it as "partial 23S ribosomal RNA". It matches the Rfam family "Bacterial large subunit ribosomal RNA", at positions 1691 to 1838 of the family's 2925-position model. Lineage: Bacteria; Pseudomonadati; Pseudomonadota; Gammaproteobacteria; Enterobacterales; Enterobacteriaceae. The record is from RNAcentral.
UGAGAGAACUCGGGUGAAGGAACUAGGCAAAAUGGUGCCGUAACUUCGGGAGAAGGCACGCUGGUGCGUAGGUGAAGUGACUUGCUCACGGAGCUGAAACCAGUCGAAGAUACCAGCUGGCUGCAACUGUUUAUUAAAAACACAGCACUGUGCAAACACGAAAGU